This 443-nucleotide ribosomal RNA is filed under the name uncultured Alphaproteobacteria bacterium. RNAcentral describes it as "bacterial SSU rRNA". It matches the Rfam family "Bacterial small subunit ribosomal RNA", at positions 8 to 496 of the family's 1533-position model. The record is from RNAcentral. Lineage: Bacteria; Pseudomonadati; Pseudomonadota; Alphaproteobacteria.
AGAGUUUGAUCCUGGCUCAGAGCGAACUCCGGCGGCCAACUUAACACAUGCAAGUCGAGCGGGCGUACCAAUNAGUCAGCGGCAGACGGGUGAGUAACGCGUGGGAACGUACCCUUUGGUUNGGAACAACACAGGGAAACUUGUGCUAAUACCGCAUAACCCCUUACGGGGAAAGAUUUAUCGCCGAAAGAUCGGCCCGCGUCCCAUNAGCUAGUUGGUAGGGUAAUGGCCUACCAAGGCGACGAUCAGUAGCCUGGUCUGAGAGGAUGAUCAGCCACANUGGGACUGAGACACGGCCCAAACUCCUACGGGAGGCAGCAGUGGGGAAUAUUGGACAAUGGGCGCAAGCCUGAUCCAGCCAUGCCGCGUGAGUGAGGAAGGCCUUUAGGUUGUAAAGCUCUUUUGUGCGGGAAGAAUAAUGGCGGUCCCCAGAAUAGCCCCGG